Molecule: transfer RNA, 75 nt
Filed under: Methylobacterium nonmethylotrophicum
Lineage: Bacteria; Pseudomonadati; Pseudomonadota; Alphaproteobacteria; Hyphomicrobiales; Methylobacteriaceae
Description: Methylobacterium sp. 6HR-1 tRNA-Val
Rfam family: tRNA
About the family: Transfer RNA (tRNA) molecules are approximately 80 nucleotides in length.
Source: RNAcentral
GGGCGCGUAGCUCAGCGGGAGAGCAUUCGCUUCACACGCGAAGGGUCACAGGUUCAACCCCUGUCGCGCCCACCA